UACAGAGACUGCAAGCGUUAUUCGGAUUCACUGGGCGUAAAGGGUGCGCAGGUGGCCAAGUGUGUUAGGCGUGAAAGCCCGGGGCUUAACCCCGGAAUUGCACCUAAAACUACUUGGCUAGAGCAUUGGAGAGGGGAGCAGAAUUCAUGGUGUAGCAGUGAAAUGCGUAGAUAUCAUGAGGAAUACCAGAGGCGAAGGCGGCUCCCUGGACAAUUGCUGACACACAGGCACGAAAGCGUGGGGAGCAAAAGGG
Molecule: ribosomal RNA, 253 nt
Filed under: uncultured bacterium
Lineage: Bacteria
Description: partial 16S ribosomal RNA
Rfam family: Bacterial small subunit ribosomal RNA
Source: RNAcentral